AACCUGCGGAGGGAUCAUUACACAAAUAUGAAGGCGGGCUGGAACCUCUCGGGGUUACAGCCUUGCUGAAUUAUUCACCCUUGUCUUUUGCGUACUUCUUGUUUCCUUGGUGGGUUCGCCCACCACUAGGACAAACAUAAACCUUUUGUAAUUGCAAUCAGCGUCAGUAACAAAUUAAUAAUUACAACUUUCAACAACGGAUCUCUUGGUUCUGGCAUCGAUGAAGAACGCAGCGAAAUGCGAUAAGUAGUGUGAAUUGCAGAAUUCAGUGAAUCAUCGAAUCUUUGAACGCACAUUGCGCCCUUUGGUAUUCCAAAGGGCAUGCCUGUUCGAGCGUCAUUUGUACCCUCAAGCUUUGCUUGGUGUUGGGCGUCUUGUCUCUAGCUUUGCUGGAGACUCGCCUUAAAGUAAUUGGCAGCCGGCCUACUGGUUUCGGAGCGCAGCACAAGUCGCACUCUCUAUCAGCAAAGGUCUAGCAUCCAUUAAGCCUUUUUUUCAACUUUUGACCUCGGAUCAGGUAGGGAUACCCGCUGAACUUAAGCAUAUCAAUAAGCGGAGGAAAAGAAACCAACAGGGAUUGCCCUAGUAACUGC
This 593-nucleotide ribosomal RNA is filed under the name Alternaria sp. BAB-4032. RNAcentral describes it as "eukaryotic LSU rRNA". The stretch from base 186 to 339 matches the Rfam family "5.8S ribosomal RNA". The record is from RNAcentral. Lineage: Eukaryota; Fungi; Ascomycota; Dothideomycetes; Pleosporales; Pleosporaceae.